GACAGAGGGGGCAAGCGUUGCUCGGACUCACUGGGCGUAAAGGGCGCGUAGGCGGGAUGGCAAGUCGGUCGUGAAAUCCUUCGGCUCAACCGAAGAACGUCGGCCGAUACUGCCGUUCUUGAGGGAUGCAGAGGAGAUUGGAAUUCCCGGUGUAGCGGUGAAAUGUGUAGAGAUCGGGAGGAACACCGGUGGCGAAGGCGGGUCUCUGGGCCGAUACUGACGCUGAGGAGCGAAAGCGUGGGGAGCGAACAGG
This 253-nucleotide ribosomal RNA is filed under the name uncultured bacterium. RNAcentral's name for it is "partial 16S ribosomal RNA". It matches the Rfam family "Bacterial small subunit ribosomal RNA", at positions 524 to 776 of the family's 1533-position model. The record is from RNAcentral.